Magnolia sinica is the source of this 495-nucleotide long non-coding RNA. RefSeq lists it as uncharacterized. The transcript has 3 exons. NCBI's taxonomy places the organism in Eukaryota, Viridiplantae, Streptophyta, Magnoliopsida, Magnoliales, Magnoliaceae. The record is from RefSeq and is a predicted model, not a curated record.
GAUCUCCCUCUCCCGAUCUCAUCUUCUCAGUCACCACAGGUUCGGGCUUCUCAUCUGCUGAUAAAGCACUUGGGCUCUCAAAGGAAACUGUCUUAGAAGGAUCCAGAAGGCCAAAUCAUCAAGAAUACCAGCAGGGACAAUGCCUUGGCCCAGCUCAAAACCCUCAGGGAAGUGAUCAUCACCGACAAGGUUAGAUUCGAGGACCUUGCUUCCCGCUACUCCGAUUGCAGCUUAGCUAAGCGCUACGGUGAUCUUGGGACAAUCAUGUGGAGAGGCUUAUAGGAAAACAGAUUGAAAAGGAGUAGGUGGAGUUCAGUAUUGGAAAUUCAUAAUGAUCUGUCCUGCUUGGAACAAAUCAAUAUCACAAGUACAAGCUGAAAAAGUAACCUAGUUGAAUCCUUGGAGGAGCUUGCACCUGCUUGCACAUUAGAUGUGAAUUUUCCUCCAUGGUAAUAACACCCUGAAACAACAACUUGUUUCAUCAUUACAAAUGAA